Molecule: ribosomal RNA, 164 nt
Filed under: uncultured bacterium
Lineage: Bacteria
Description: partial 16S rRNA
Rfam family: Bacterial small subunit ribosomal RNA
Source: RNAcentral
UAGGGAAUCUUCCACAAUGGGCGAAAGCCUGAUGGAGCAACGCCGCGUGUGUGAUGAAGGGUUUCGGCUCGUAAAACACUGUUGUAAGAGAAGAAUGACAUUGAGAGUAACUGUUCAAUGUGUGACGGUAUCUUACCAGAAAGGAACGGCUAAAUACGUGCCCC